Tyto alba (common barn owl) is the source of this 528-nucleotide long non-coding RNA. RefSeq lists it as uncharacterized. Lineage: Eukaryota; Metazoa; Chordata; Aves; Strigiformes; Tytonidae. The transcript is spliced from 4 exons. The record is from RefSeq and is a predicted model, not a curated record.
ACCAUAGCAAAUGUUUUAAAAAAUAUUACUUUGUAGGGUGUUGACGGAAUGCCAGGGAAUUAAACUCUAGCAUUCAUCUCUAGGUAACAGCGUAUUCUCUUUUGACUGGAGCAACUUUAUCAAGGAGGAAAAGGUAUACAUAACUACAAAAAUGGGAUAGUUCUACCAAAUACCACUCAAACGCUGAAGUGGGAGAUUAAGGAGAGAUGUCUGGAUGACAAUUUAAGAAUACCACCAUUUCAAGAAGAGUACGUAUAUAUUUCAAGAACAGAAAAUCUACCACCAUUUGAAGAAGACAAAACUUAUAUAUUCAACCUGAAAAUUUACACAUCCAUUUAAAUUGCAGUGAAGCAAUCAACUUUUACUAUCAGAAAGUCUUCCUGAAAAGAAAUCUGAGCAUCAGUAUAAUAGCACAGCUCUCUCUACAAAACAGGAGAGUGGAUUUCCCCAUGUUCUUCACUGGAAACGUGGCAUCCACAGGUAUGGAAAACUCCAAAGAUUUAAUCUAGCUGGUACAGGGAGAAGAAA